GAUGAACGCUGGCGGCGUGCCUAAUACAUGCAAGUCGAGCGAACAGACGAGGAGCUUGCUCCUCUGACGUUAGCGGCGGACGGGUGAGUAACACGUGGAUAACCUACCUAUAAGACUGGGAUAACUUCGGGAAACCGGAGCUAAUACCGGAUAAUAUAUUGAACCGCAUGGUUCAAUAGUGAAAGACGGUUUUGCUGUCACUUAUAGAUGGAUCCGCGCCGCAUUAGCUAGUUGGUAAGGUAACGGCUUACCAAGGCAACGAUGCGUAGCCGACCUGAGAGGGUGAUCGGCCACACUGGAGCUGAGACACGGUCCAGACCCCUACGGGAGGCAGCAGUAGGGAAUCUUCCGCAAUGGGCGAAAGCUUGACGGAGCAACGCCGCGUGAGUGAUGAAGGUCUUCGGAUCGUAAAACUCUGUUAUUAGGGAAGAACAAAUGUGUAAGUAACUAUGCACGUCUUGACGGUACCGAAGCAGAAAGCCACGGCUAACUACGU
Molecule: ribosomal RNA, 496 nt
Filed under: uncultured bacterium
Lineage: Bacteria
Description: partial 16S ribosomal RNA
Rfam family: Bacterial small subunit ribosomal RNA
Source: RNAcentral